RNAcentral lists this ribosomal RNA (1824 nucleotides) under Triticum aestivum (bread wheat). RNAcentral's name for it is "partial small subunit ribosomal RNA". The record is from RNAcentral. Lineage: Eukaryota; Viridiplantae; Streptophyta; Magnoliopsida; Poales; Poaceae.
AUGAAGUACGUGCUGGUCACCGGUGGUGUUGUGAGCGGCCUCGGCAAGGGCGUCACGGCCAGCAGCAUCGGCGUCGUCCUCAAGGCGUGCGGUCUCCGCAUUACGUCCAUCAAGAUCGAUCCUUACCUCAACACUGAUGCCGGGACUAUGUCCCCGUUCGAACACGGUGAAGUGUUUGUGUUAGAUGAUGGUGGUGAGGUGGACUUGGAUCUUGGGAAUUAUGAGAGGUUUCUUGAUAUUAAACUCACCCGGGACAAUAAUAUAACUACUGGAAAGAUCUACCAGUCUGUUAUUGACAAGGAGAGGAAAGGGGAAUACUUGGGAAAGACUGUGCAGGUUGUGCCACACAUUACAAAUGCCAUACAAGACUGGAUCGAGCGUGUUGCUAUGAUACCGGUGGAUGGCAUGGACGGACCAGCUGAUGUCUGUGUGAUCGAACUGGGUGGAACAAUUGGUGAUAUUGAAUCUAUGCCAUUUAUUGAAGCUUUGGGUCAAUUCUCGUAUCGUGUUGGACCUGGCAACUUCUGUUUGGUGCAUGUCAGUCUCGUUCCAGUUCUGAAUGUUGUUGGUGAACAGAAAACCAAGCCGACUCAACACAGUGUGCGUGGUUUAAGGGGACUUGGCCUCACCCCAAAUAUUUUAGCUUGUCGCAGUACAAAGGAACUGGAAGAAAAUGUCAAAGAGAAACUCUCCCAGUUCUGCCAUGUGCCGGCAACAAACAUUGUCACUCUGUAUGAUGUUUCCAAUAUUUGGCGUAUUCCUUUGUUGCUACGGGACCAAAAGGCGCAUGAAGCUAUUCUUAAAGUUCUGAACCUUGAAAGCUUUCCUCGUGAGCCAAAGUUGGAUGAAUGGGUUGCAAGAGCUACUAUGUUUGACACCCUUCAGGAUACUGUACGCAUUGCUAUGGUUGGGAAGUACACUGGUCUAUCUGAUUCCUAUCUCUCUGUGUUGAAAGCUCUCUUGCAUGCUUCAGUUUAUUGCCACAGAAAGCUUGUUGUUGAUUGGGUUGCUUCUACAGAUCUUGAGGACUCUACCAAAAUUGAGGCACCUGAUGCUUACAAAGCAGCUUGGAAUUUAUUGAAGAGUGCUGAUGGCAUUUUAGUACCUGGUGGCUUUGGAGAUAGAGGUGUUCAAGGAAAAAUUCUGGCUGCUAAGUAUGCCCGUGAAAAUAAUGUACCAUAUCUUGGUAUAUGUCUUGGAAUGCAGAUGGCUGUUGUAGAGUUUGCUAGGAAUGUCAUGAAUCUCUCUGAUGCAAACAGUACUGAAUUUGAUCGCAAUGCCAAGGCCCCAUGUGUUAUUUUUAUGCCUGAGGGUUCCAAAACACAUAUGGGUGGCACAAUGCGCCUAGGAUCGAGGAGGACAUUCUUCAAGGUUGCUGGUUGCAAGUCAGCUAAAUUGUAUGGCAAUGUGGAUUAUGUUGAUGAGAGGCACCGGCACAGAUAUGAGGUGAAUCCUGAUAUGGUGCCAGAGUUUGAAAAUGCUGGACUUAAGUUUGUUGGCAAAGAUGAGAGUGACAGGAGAAUGGAGAUAAUCGAGAUACCCAAUCACCAGUAUUUCGUUGGCGCACAGUUUCAUCCUGAAUUCAAGUCAAGACCUGCGAAACCUUCUCCACUAUUUGUUGGGCUAAUCGCCGCCUCAUCUGGGCAAUUGGACAAGGUGCUACAAAGCUGCUCGAAUGGCCAUGUGCUUCCUGCCAAACAUCAGUUCAGCAAUGGUCCAUACACGCUGGCUGCACACCAAAAUGCAAACGGGCAUGCGAAGAAGCUUGCCAAUGGUCUAGCGAAUGGAACAUACCAUCCCAAUGGGAAUGGUGUCCAUGCGUAG